RNAcentral lists this ribosomal RNA (1455 nucleotides) under Triticum aestivum (bread wheat). RNAcentral's name for it is "partial small subunit ribosomal RNA". The record is from RNAcentral. Lineage: Eukaryota; Viridiplantae; Streptophyta; Magnoliopsida; Poales; Poaceae.
AUGGCUAGUUUAGGUUCAUCUCAAGUUGCAAGUUCAUCACUUAAGAGGAAGUCGGAUGAAAUGGCUUGGGAGUUUGCCGAGUUGAUUGAUCCUAGUGGUCCACAAAGGCUCAAGUGCAAGCUUUGUGGAAAAGUCAUGUCGGGAGGGGUCACUAGGAUGAAGGAGCACAUUGGGCAGAUCAAAGGCGCUGUGACCAGCUGUAUGAAAGCCACACAAGAUCAGAUUACUCGAGCUUUUGCAUCACACGAGGCACCAAAGAGGAAGAAAUUGGAAAAGCAAAAGCGUGAAGAAGAAGUUAAAGCUGCAGUCACCAUAGAGGUCAACGAGGAUGAUCAAGAACAACUGAAUGAAGUUGGUGAAGGUACUCCAAAGAAGGGGGCAAUGGAUCAAUAUCUUGCACCAAUUGAUCCUUCGAUCCCGUUGAAAUCUAAAAAACAGAAGACUAUAAAUGAUAGUGUUGAUAAGGAAAGAAGCUACAAAGUUGGGCAAUAUUUGGCUAGAUGGAUGUACAAGAAAAAUAUACCCUUCAAUGCUAUCAAUGAUGAUGAUUUCAAACAGUUUUGUGAGGCUCUUGGUCGCUAUGGUCCUGAUUGGAAGCAACCCUCGCAAUAUAUGAUCAGGGAGAGAAUGUUGGUUCAGGAGGUGGAAAGGACUAGGGAUUUGUUGAAGCCACAUGAGGUCGAGAGGGCAGAUACGGGGUGCUCUGUCAUGACUGAUGCUUGGACGGACAAGAAAAGGAGGAUCAUCAUGAACUUGUGCGUGCAUUGCAAGUUGGGGACCAUCUAUCUUGGAUCAAAGGAGGCAUCGGCCGAUGCACAUACAAGUCUAUACAUUUUCAAUUAUGUGGAUGAAUGCAUUGAGAAAAUAGGUGCUGAAAAUGUUGUGCAAGUAGUCACGGAUAAUGCUUCAAACAACAUGGGAGCAAAGGUGAUGUUGAAAGAUAAAAGGCCCAAGUUAUUUUGGACCUGGUGUGCAUCUCACACCAUCAACUUGAUGGUAGAAGCGGUUGCAAAGUUGAAGCAUUUUUGUUCUACAAUAACCAAAGCCAAAGAAAUGACUACUUUCCUUUAUGCACAUCAUGCUACAUUGGCCUUGAUGAGGUCAUAUACAAAAAAGAGAGACAUUGUUAGACCGGGGGUGACUAGAUUUGCUUCGGCAUUUCUUACCUUGCAAAGUCUUGAUGCUAAGAGGAAGAAUCGAAAGGAAAUGUGUUGUAGUGAUACUUGGGAAGGAUGCAAGCACACGAGAACAAAGAAAGGGAAGGUGGCUCAUGCCGCAAUAAUGAGUAGGACAUUUUGGAAAAAUGUGUCUCUUUGCAUUAAGGUAUUGUUUACUAAACUUCAAAUUGUGCUUGUGUAUGUUGGAAUGCAUGUGUAUAUGUUAAAUAAUAAUGUUGUGCACUUGUGCUUGGGUAUGUUGGAAACUUGGAAUGGAAGGUUUUUGAGCCAUUGGUGA